Molecule: ribosomal RNA, 505 nt
Filed under: uncultured bacterium
Lineage: Bacteria
Description: bacterial SSU rRNA
Rfam family: Bacterial small subunit ribosomal RNA
Source: RNAcentral
GAUAUGGCUCAGGAUGAACGCCAGCUACAGGCUUAACACAUGCAAGUCGAGGGGUAGCAGGGUAGCAAUACCGCUGACGACCGGCGCACGGGUGAGUAACACGUAUCCAACCUUCCCAUAACUCAGGGAUAGCCUUUCGAAAGAAAGAUUAAUACCUGAUAGUACUUUUUCAAGGCAUCUUGAGAAAGUUAAAGAUUUAUUGGUUAUGGAUGGGGAUGCGUUCCAUUAGAUAGUUGGUGAGGUAACGGCUCACCAAGUCUUCGAUGGACAGGGGUUCUGAGAGGAAGGUCCCCCACAUUGGUACUGAGACACGGACCAAACUCCUACGGGAGGCAGCAGUGAGGAAUAUUGGUCAAUGGGCGAGAGCCUGAACCAGCCAAGUAGCGUGAAGGAUGAAGGUCCUAUGGAUUGUAAACUUCUUUUAUAGUAGAAUAAAGUGAUCCACGUGUGGAUUUUUGUAUGUAUACUAUGAAUAAGGAUCGGCUAACUCCGUGCCAGCAGCCGC